UGGGGAAUAUUGCACAAUGGGGGGAACCCUGAUGCAGCGACGCCGCGUGAAGGAAGAAGUAUCUCGGUAUGUAAACUUCUAUCAGCAGGGAAGAAAGAGGACGGUACCUGACUAAGAAGCCCCGGCUAACUACGUGCCAGCAGCCGCGGUAAUACGUAGGGGGCGAGCGUUAUCCGGAUUUACUGGGUGUAAAGGGAGCGUAGACGGCCAUGCAAGCUCGGUGUGAAAGGUGCGGGCACAACCCGCAGACUGCACUGAGAACUGUAUGGCUGGAGUGCCGGAGGGGCAGGCGGAAUUCCUGGUGUAGCGGUGAAAUGCGUAGAUAUCAGGAGGAACACCGGUGGCGAAGGCGGCCUGCUGGACGGCGACUGACGUUGAGGCUCGAAAGCGUGGGGAGCGAACAGG
Molecule: ribosomal RNA, 405 nt
Filed under: uncultured bacterium
Lineage: Bacteria
Description: bacterial SSU rRNA
Rfam family: Bacterial small subunit ribosomal RNA
Source: RNAcentral